This 491-nucleotide ribosomal RNA is filed under the name uncultured bacterium. Its description in RNAcentral is "partial 16S ribosomal RNA". It matches the Rfam family "Bacterial small subunit ribosomal RNA", at positions 29 to 506 of the family's 1533-position model. The record is from RNAcentral.
AGUGAACGCUGGCGGUAGGCCUAACACAUGCAAGUCGAACGGCAGCACAGUAAGAGCUUGCUCUUACGGGUGGCGAGUGGCGGACGGGUGAGGAAUACAUCGGAAUCUACUUUUUCGUGGGGGAUAACGUAGGGAAACUUACGCUAAUACCGCAUACGACCUACGGGUGAAAGCAGGGGAUCUUCGGACCUUGCGCGAUUGAAUGAGCCGAUGUCGGAUUAGCUAGUUGGCGGGGUAAAGGCCCACCGAGGCGACGAUCCGUAGCUGGUCUGAGAGGAUGAUCAGCCACACUGGAGCUGAGACACGGUCCAGACUCCUACGGGAGGCAGCAGUGGGGAAUAUUGGACAGUGGGCGCAAGCCUGAUCCAGCCAUGCCGCGUGGGUGAAGAAGGCCUUCGGGUUGUAAAGCCCUUUUGUUGGGAAAGAAAAGCAGCAGGUUAAUACCCCGCUGUUCUGACGGUACCCAAAGAAUAAGCACCGGCUAACUUCGU